CGAGUCGGCGGGGCGGCCGCGAGCCGGGAGACCGGUUCGAGGAAAGUCCGGACUCCACAGGGCAGGGUGGUUGUUAACGGCAACCCGGGGCGACCCGCGGGACAGUGCCACAGAAAACAGACCGCCUCCGUUCGCUUCGCGGGCGGAGGUAAGGGUGAAACGGUGGUGUAAGAGACCACCAGCGUCCUGGGUGACCAGGACGGCUAGGUAAACCCCACCCGGAGCAAGGUCAAGAGGGAGCCGCGAGGCUCCUGCGCAGGCGCGAUCGAGGGCUGCCCGCCCGAGCCUGCGGGUAGGCCGCUCGAGCCCGUCGGCGACGGCGGGCCUAGAUGGAUGGCCGCCACUCGCUCAGCCGCAAGGCGAGGCGAGGACAGGAUCCGGCUUACACGCCGGCUCGUCCG
RNAcentral lists this RNase P RNA (401 nucleotides) under Amycolatopsis sp. WAC 01375. Its description in RNAcentral is "RNase P RNA component class A". It matches the Rfam family "Bacterial RNase P class A". From Rfam's summary of the family: Ribonuclease P (RNase P) is a ubiquitous endoribonuclease, found in archaea, bacteria and eukarya as well as chloroplasts and mitochondria. Its best characterised activity is the generation of mature 5'-ends of tRNAs by cleaving the 5'-leader elements of precursor-tRNAs. Cellular RNase Ps are ribonucleoproteins. The record is from RNAcentral. Lineage: Bacteria; Bacillati; Actinomycetota; Actinomycetes; Pseudonocardiales; Pseudonocardiaceae.